AAUCAACGCUGGCGGCGUGCCUCAGACAUGCAAGUCGAACGCGAAAGGCUCCUUCGGGGGCCGAGUAGAGUGGCGCACGGGUGAGUAACACGUAGGGUAAUCUGCCUUUGGGUGGGGAAUAACUCAGGGAAACUUGAGCUAAUACCGCAUAAUGCAGCGGCUCGACAUCGAGACAGUUAGUUAAAGGCGGGGGAUCGCAAGACCUCGCGCCUGAAGAGAAGCCUGCGGCAGAUUAGCUAGUUGGUAGGGUAAUGGCCUACCAAGGCGACGAUCUGUAACCGGCCUGAGAGGGCGGUCGGUCACACU
RNAcentral lists this ribosomal RNA (306 nucleotides) under uncultured bacterium. RNAcentral describes it as "bacterial SSU rRNA". It matches the Rfam family "Bacterial small subunit ribosomal RNA", at positions 32 to 314 of the family's 1533-position model. The record is from RNAcentral.